Molecule: ribosomal RNA, 492 nt
Filed under: uncultured bacterium
Lineage: Bacteria
Description: partial 16S ribosomal RNA
Rfam family: Bacterial small subunit ribosomal RNA
Source: RNAcentral
AGUGAACGCUGGCGGUAGGCCUAACACAUGCAAGUCGAACGGCAGCACAGUAAGAGCUUGCUCUUACGGGUGGCGAGUGGCGGACGGGUGAGGAAUACAUCGGAAUCUACUUUUUCGUGGGGGAUAACGUAGGGAAACUUACGCUAAUACCGCAUACGACCUACGGGUGAAAGCAGGGGAUCUUCGGACCUUGCGCGAUUGAAUGAGCCGAUGUCGGAUUAGCUAGUUGGCGGGGUAAAGGCCCACCAAGGCGACGAUCCGUAGCUGGUCUGAGAGGAUGAUCAGGCACACUGGAACUGAGACACGGUCCAGACUCCUACGGGAGGCAGCAGUGGGGAAUAUUGGACAAUGGGCGCAAGCCUGAUCCAGCCAUACCGCGUGGGUGAAGAAGGCCUUCGGGUUGGAAAGCCCUUUUGUUGGGAAAGAAAAGCAGCAGGUUAAUACCCCGCUGUUCUGACGGUACCCAAAGAAUAAGCACCGGCUAACUUCGUG